RNAcentral lists this ribosomal RNA (681 nucleotides) under Triticum aestivum (bread wheat). Its description in RNAcentral is "partial small subunit ribosomal RNA". Lineage: Eukaryota; Viridiplantae; Streptophyta; Magnoliopsida; Poales; Poaceae. The record is from RNAcentral.
AUGCUACCACUACCCGUCCACCUGUCCUUCAUGCGCGGCCACUACUGGGCGGGCAUGAAGGCCAACUGGAUCGUCCUCAUCCACCACUCCGGUAGUCCGUGGCAUCUCGUGGAUAUCUACACCCAGCGAGAGAUCACCCUUCCAUCGUUGGAUACCGCCGCCAUCGAGCCACGCGGCCCGCCGGACACUCCUGCCUACUACGCACGAGACACUUUGAAGCACUCCCCUGGUUUGAAGGAUAGAUACCUUCCUGGGAUCAAGUGCAUCCUAACUCACCUGCUACCAUAUAACUGGAAUUACCGAUGCAAGUCGAAGAAGGAUUGGUCGGUGCUGCCGGCUGGCGUCAAGUUCGAUCCCACGGAUCAGGAGCCGAUCGAGCACCUUGAGGCCAAAGUGAGUGCUGACAGCGCGAGAUUUCAGUCUCUCAUCAAUUUGUUCAUACCAACCAUCGACAGCGAACACGACAUAUGCUACACCCAACCUGAGAAACUUCCAGCAAAAAAGGUUCUGGUGCUGCACACCAACGAGAACUUCGACCAGCAGAGGACCAACUGGGUGAUGCACCAGUACCACCUCGGGGACCUGGAGCAAGAGAAGGAGCGGGAGCUGGCCCAGCCCAUGACGACAACGGGGCACCAAGAUCCAGCAGGUAUCUACUGGCCUCUUGCCCGCCAGCAUUAG